AUACGUAGGGGGCAAGCGUUAUCCGGAUUUACUGGGUGUAAAGGGAGCGUAGACGGCAAGGCAAGUCUGACUGUGAAAACCCAGGGCUUUAACCCUGGGACUGCAUUGGAAACUGUCUGGCUCGAGUGCCGGAGAGGUAAGCGGAAUUCCUAGUGUAGUGGUGAAAUGCGUAGAUAUUAGGAAGAACACCAGUGGCGAAGGCGGCUUACUGGACGGUAACUGACGUUGAGGCUCGAAAGCGUGGGGAGC
This 249-nucleotide ribosomal RNA is filed under the name uncultured bacterium. Its description in RNAcentral is "partial 16S ribosomal RNA". It matches the Rfam family "Bacterial small subunit ribosomal RNA", at positions 523 to 769 of the family's 1533-position model. The record is from RNAcentral.